RNAcentral lists this ribosomal RNA (1161 nucleotides) under Triticum aestivum (bread wheat). Its description in RNAcentral is "partial small subunit ribosomal RNA". Lineage: Eukaryota; Viridiplantae; Streptophyta; Magnoliopsida; Poales; Poaceae. The record is from RNAcentral.
AUGGCGCAGGCGGAGGCGGACGUACCCGCAGCCUCGCUCUUCGGUGCGGACCGCCGCCUCUGCUCAGCCGACGUGCUCUCGCCGCCCGAGGUUCGGGCAAGGAUCGAGGUGGCGGUGCUCAAUUUCCUCGCCGCGCUCUCGUCUCCCUCUUCUCCGGCCAUCUCUGUCCUCCCCCUGAUCUCACGCAAGUCCACCAAUUGCAGCCUGCGCAGCGGCUUGCUGAGCGAUGUUUCAUCGGUUUAUCUGUCCUACGCCUUCUGCAAGAGGUCACUAAUGAGAGAAAAUGAUGCCAAGGCAUUCGUCAGAGUAUGGAAAGUCAUGGAGAUGUGCUACAAGAUCUUGGGAGACGGGAAGCUUGUCACCCAGCGGGAGUUGUUCUACAAACUACUAUCGGACUCACCCAAGUACUUCAGCUGUCAGCGCCAUGUCAAUCAAACCAUCCAAGAUGUUGUUUCAUUGCUCCGUUGCACAAGGCAGAGUUUAGGAAUCAUGGCAUCAAGUAGAGGGGCUCUGAUUGGACGACUUAUGUUGCAUGAAGCGGAGGAAGAACACAUUGAUUGUUCCAUUCUUGGACCUUCUGGGCAUGCCAUUACUGGGGAUCUGAACCAAUUGAGCAGAUUAAAUUUGUCUUCAGAUGCCCGUUAUCUCAUUCUAGUGGAGAAGGAUGCCAUAUUUCAGAGGCUGGCUGAAGACCGCUUAUAUAACCAGCUUCCAUGUAUCCUCAUCACUGCAAAAGGAUAUCCUGAUAUCGCCACAAGGUUUAUCUUGCAUCGACUGAGCCAGACUUUUCCAAAUAUGCCAAUAUUUGCAUUAGUGGACUGGAACCCUGCAGGGCUCUCUAUACUGUGUACUUACAAAUAUGGAAGCAUAUCAAUGGGCUUGGAAUCAUACAGAUACGCUUGCAAUGUAAAAUGGCUUGGACUAAGAGGAGAUGAUCUGCAACUUAUCUCUCAGAGUGCAUUCCAAGAGUUGAAACCUCGUGAUUUGCAGAUCGCCAAAAGCUUGCUGUCAUCUAAGUUUCUGCAGGACAUGCACAGGGCGGAGUUGACUCGGAUGGUCGAGACGGGAACGCGCGCUGAGAUCGAAGCUCUCUACUGCCAUGGAUUUGAUUUCCUGGGGAAGUUCAUCGCCAGGAAGAUUGUGCAGGGUGACUACAUUUGA